GCAAGUCGUGCGAGAAAGUAUCUUCGGAUAUGAGUAGAGCGGCGGACGGGUGAGUAACGCGUAGGAAUCUACCUAGUAGAAGGGGAUAGCCCGGGGAAACCCGGAUUAAUACCGUAUACCUCCUUCGGGAGAAAGAAGGCCUCUCUUUGAAGCUUUCGCUACUAGAUGAGCCUGCGUAAGAUUAGCUUGUUGGUGAGGUAAAGGCUCACCAAGGCAACGAUCUUUAGCUGGUCUGAGAGGACGAUCAGCCACAUUGGGACUGAGACACGGCCCAGACUCCUACGGGAGGCAGCAGUGGGGAAUAUUGGACAAUGGGCGCAAGCCUGAUCCAGCCAUACCGCGUGUGUGAAGAAGGCCUUCGGGUUGUAAAGCACUUUAAGCAGGGAGAAAAAGUUAUAAGUUAAUACCUUAUAGCCUUGAUGUUACCUGCAGAAUAAGCACCGGCUAAUUCCGUGCCAGCAGCCGCGGUAAUACGGAAGGUGCAAGCGUUAAUCGGAAUUACUGGGCGUAAAGCGCGCGUAGGUGGUUUGUUAAGUUGGAUGUGAAAGCCCUGGGCUCAACCUAGGAACUGCAUCCAAAACUAACUCACUAGAGUACGAUAGAGGGAGGUAGAAUUCAUAGUGUAGCGGUGGAAUGCGUAGAUAUUAUGAAGAAUACCAGUGGCGAAGGCGGCCUCCUGGAUCUGUACUGACACUGAGGUGCGAAAGCGUGGGUAGCGAACAGGAUUAGAUACCCUGGUAGUCCACGCCGUAAACGAUGACAACUAGCUGUUGGGAGACAAAGUCUUUCAGUGGCGCAGCUAACGCUUUAAGUUGUCCGCCUGGGGAGUACGGCCGCA
This 838-nucleotide ribosomal RNA is filed under the name uncultured marine bacterium. RNAcentral describes it as "bacterial SSU rRNA". It matches the Rfam family "Bacterial small subunit ribosomal RNA", at positions 57 to 890 of the family's 1533-position model. The record is from RNAcentral.